RNAcentral lists this long non-coding RNA (968 nucleotides) under Cricetulus griseus (Chinese hamster). Its description in RNAcentral is "lncRNA (ENSCGRG00015029446.1)". Lineage: Eukaryota; Metazoa; Chordata; Mammalia; Rodentia; Cricetidae. The record is from RNAcentral.
GAUCUCAAGAUGGUCACAGCUCACUUUAGCCUUUACCUGUAACCACUUGAAGACACCAUUGGAAUCUAAAGGCUGAUUGUGGGUUCUGCAGGUGUGGAUCCUAUGAAAACUACUUCAAGGUGAAUAAUUGCAUCACAUUGAAAACAGAUAAAUAUUUUUUUCUUUGUUUGAAGAUGGAGGCAGUGGAGUAGGGAGGUGUGCGUACUGCACUUACGAAAGCAUCUAUUUCUCUAAGUUUUGGGCUUCUCUUCCAUUAGGAAAAGUUUUUGGUGCCAUGUUUAUAAACAUGACUACAGACCAUGCUCCUUGUUCCUGUAAAUGCUGCUCCCUAGUCUAGAUGGCCCUGGUGACAACGCAAGAUGGUGAAUGAAGUGCCACUUCUGCAUAGUCUUCCUCAGGCCCUCAAGGGCUUGUUGUUACAGUAGACCCAGAAGCCUUCCGAAGUCCAUCCUAUACCCACCUGACUUGAGGCAACACCCAUCAUCUACCCAAGUUCUUGUGUACAGGGCAAUGAUACACAAAGCAAAACACAAGCUAGACUUUUAAAAGUCUCCUUAGAUCAAAUGUUGCCUCUGCAAAGUUCAUGUGCUAGAAGCCUGAGCAUUGUUCCCGUGUGAAGUCAAGUGGAAUCGUUGGAUAAUUUUGACAAAACUGGAGAGUCACAGGAGAGGAAUGUCACUCCUCGCACGAACCUUCAGGAAGGUCAUCCGUUAAUCCAAGACUUGCUUGCCCCCACCACUUCCUGGUCCCUCUGGAGAUCCAAGGGGCUCAGAGCUGUCUCAUUUGAGUUUAUGAUUCACCUUUGGAGCUGACACUGAAGAAGGACCCCCCAAUCCAUGUGGCUGUCCCCGGUACUCUCAGCAUGGCUGCCUCCAAGCAGCUGACCCUGGGGAAGCUAGCUAGAAAACGCUUGCUUUCUCAGUCACACUGUCGAUCACCCUUGGUUUUCUUCAAAUGCAGUGCACAGA